RNAcentral lists this long non-coding RNA (546 nucleotides) under Monodelphis domestica (gray short-tailed opossum). RNAcentral's name for it is "lncRNA (ENSMODG00000044756.1)". Lineage: Eukaryota; Metazoa; Chordata; Mammalia; Didelphimorphia; Didelphidae. The record is from RNAcentral.
UCAUACAACGUGAAGCUUAAAGAUAACAAUGAAACAUCCUGGGGGCAGGAAUGGUGUCUCUGGAGCAAAAAGCUUCAACUAAUUUGUGGACACAAGUAAGAGGCUGUGAUAAUGAAAGGGGAAAUGAAACAUACUUACAAGAAUCUGGAUAGAGAGAAAGACAAAAGCUUCCAGGACUCACCACCUUUCCCAUGAUGCUCCACUUCAGCUCAAAGACACCAGACUUUGGGACAACGGUUGUCUCCUCAAGCCUUCGUUUUCUGGAGAGCCACUUACCAAACAUUUUCAAGCUAUGGAAACAAAUUCAUGGACUCAAGUCUAAGAACUCCUUCUGGAGAGCUACCUGUAACUUUCAACAUUGCUUCAAUGGAGAGCUGGGUUACUGUAUCUCAUGGAAACUUCCAAGAUGUAGUUAUCUGUAAGCUCUCUGAGUGCUGGAACCUGAAAAGCCAUCGGGAGUCAUCAUCUCAAUUGACACUUUUACAAAUCAUUCUGUACCCACCUAAUAAUAAUAAUAACAAUAAAUAACGAUGAUGAUAAUUAGCA